RNAcentral lists this ribosomal RNA (537 nucleotides) under Fusarium equiseti. RNAcentral's name for it is "eukaryotic LSU rRNA". The stretch from base 180 to 333 matches the Rfam family "5.8S ribosomal RNA". The record is from RNAcentral. Lineage: Eukaryota; Fungi; Ascomycota; Sordariomycetes; Hypocreales; Nectriaceae.
UCCGUAGGUGAACCUGCGGAGGGAUCAUUACCGAGUUUACAACUCCCAAACCCCUGUGAACAUACCUAUACGUUGCCUCGGCGGAUCAGCCCGCGCCCCGUAAAAAGGGACGGCCCGCCCGAGGACCCCUAAACUCUGUUUUUAGUGGAACUUCUGAGUAAAACAAACAAAUAAAUCAAAACUUUCAACAACGGAUCUCUUGGUUCUGGCAUCGAUGAAGAACGCAGCAAAAUGCGAUAAGUAAUGUGAAUUGCAGAAUUCAGUGAAUCAUCGAAUCUUUGAACGCACAUUGCGCCCGCCAGUAUUCUGGCGGGCAUGCCUGUUCGAGCGUCAUUUCAACCCUCAAGCUCAGCUUGGUGUUGGGACUCGCGGUAACCCGCGUUCCCCAAAUCGAUUGGCGGUCACGUCGAGCUUCCAUAGCGUAGUAAUCAUACACCUCGUUACUGGUAAUCGUCGCGGCCACGCCGUAAAACCCCAACUUCUGAAUGUUGACCUCGGAUCAGGUAGGAAUACCCGCUGAACUUAAGCAUAUCAAUA